This 653-nucleotide ribosomal RNA is filed under the name Lactobacillus crispatus. RNAcentral's name for it is "bacterial SSU rRNA". It matches the Rfam family "Bacterial small subunit ribosomal RNA", at positions 20 to 640 of the family's 1533-position model. Lineage: Bacteria; Bacillati; Bacillota; Bacilli; Lactobacillales; Lactobacillaceae. The record is from RNAcentral.
UGGCUCAGGACGAACGCUGGCGGCGUGCCUAAUACAUGCAAGUCGAGCGAGCGGAACUAACAGAUUUACUUCGGUAAUGACGUUAGGAAAGCGAGCGGCGGAUGGGUGAGUAACACGUGGGGAACCUGCCCCAUAGUCUGGGAUACCACUUGGAAACAGGUGCUAAUACCGGAUAAGAAAGCAGAUCGCAUGAUCAGCUUUUAAAAGGCGGCGUAAGCUGUCGCUAUGGGAUGGCCCCGCGGUGCAUUAGCUAGUUGGUAAGGUAAAGGCUUACCAAGGCGAUGAUGCAUAGCCGAGUUGAGAGACUGAUCGGCCACAUUGGGACUGAGACACGGCCCAAACUCCUACGGGAGGCAGCAGUAGGGAAUCUUCCACAAUGGACGCAAGUCUGAUGGAGCAACGCCGCGUGAGUGAAGAAGGUUUUCGGAUCGUAAAGCUCUGUUGUUGGUGAAGAAGGAUAGAGGUAGUAACUGGCCUUUAUUUGACGGUAAUCAACCAGAAAGUCACGGCUAACUACGUGCCAGCAGCCGCGGUAAUACGUAGGUGGCAAGCGUUGUCCGGAUUUAUUGGGCGUAAAGCGAGCGCAGGCGGAAGAAUAAGUCUGAUGUGAAAGCCCUCGGCUUAACCGAGGAACUGCAUCGGAAACUGUUUUU